AGUGAACGCUGGCGGUAGGCCUAACACAUGCAAGUCGAACGGCAGCACAGUAAGAGCUUGCUCUUACGGGUGGCGAGUGGCGGACGGGUGAGGAAUACAUCGGAAUCUACUUUUUCGUGGGUGAUAACGUAGGGAAACUUACGCUAAUACCGCAUACGACCUACGGGUGAAAGCAGGGGAUCUUCGGACCUUGCCCGAUUGAAUGAGCCGAUGCCGGAUUAGCUAGUUGGCGGGGUAAAGGCCCACCAAGGCGACGAUCCGUAGCUGGUCUGAGAGGAUGAUCGGCCACACUGGAACUGAGACACGGUCCAGACUCCUACGGGAGGCAGCAGUAGGGAAUAUUGGACAAUGGGCGCAAGCCUGAUCCAGCCAUACCGCGUGAGUGAAGAAGGCCUUCGGGUUGUAAAGCCCUUUUGUUGGGAAAGAAAAGCAGCGGGUUAAUACCCCGCUGUUCUGACGGUACCCAAAGAAUAAGCACCGGCUAACUUCGUG
This 492-nucleotide ribosomal RNA is filed under the name uncultured bacterium. RNAcentral's name for it is "partial 16S ribosomal RNA". It matches the Rfam family "Bacterial small subunit ribosomal RNA", at positions 29 to 507 of the family's 1533-position model. The record is from RNAcentral.